This 252-nucleotide ribosomal RNA is filed under the name uncultured bacterium. RNAcentral's name for it is "partial 16S ribosomal RNA". It matches the Rfam family "Bacterial small subunit ribosomal RNA", at positions 524 to 776 of the family's 1533-position model. The record is from RNAcentral.
UACGUAGGGGGCGAGCGUUAUCCGGAUUCAUUGGGCGUAAAGCGCGCGUAGGCGGCCGCCUAAGCGGAACCUCUAACCCCGGGGCUCAACCUCGGGCCGGGUUCCGGACUGGGCGGCUCGAGUGCGGUAGAGGAGAGCGGAAUUCCCGGUGUAGCAGUGGAAUGCGCAGAUAUCGGGAAGAACACCGAUGGCGAAGGCAGCUCUCUGGGCCGUCACUGACGCUGAGGCGCGAAAGCUGGGGGAGCGAACAGG